Molecule: small nucleolar RNA, 138 nt
Organism: Tachyglossus aculeatus (Australian echidna)
Lineage: Eukaryota; Metazoa; Chordata; Mammalia; Monotremata; Tachyglossidae
Source: RefSeq, a predicted model, not a curated record
CCCCUCUCAGGGUCGCACCCGGAGAGUUUCCAGUACUCUACCAGUCUCGACUAUGGGAGGGAAAGUCAAGCCGAGGCCUACCCAUUCCAUUCCUAACUUCGCCAGUGGCUAAUGAUUGGAAGACAAUCUGGUACAAGU